AACGAACGCUGGCGGCAUGCCUAACACAUGCAAGUCGAACGAGACCUUCGGGUCUAGUGGCGCACGGGUGCGUACCGCGGGGGAACCUGCCCUUAGGUUCGGAAUAACUCCCCGAAAGGGGUGCUAAUACCGGAUAAUGUCUUCGGACCAAAGAUUUAUCGCCUUUGGAUGGGCCCGCGUUGGAUUAGCUAGUUGGUAGGGUAAAAGCCUACCAAGGCGACGAUCCAUAGCUGGUCUGAGAGGAUGAUCAGCCACACUGGAAAUGAGACACGGCCCAGACUCCUACGGGAGGCAGCAGUGGGGAAUAUUAGACAAUGGGCGAAAGCCUGAUCCAGCAAUGCCGCGUGAGUGAUGAAGGCCUUAGGGUUGUAAAGCUCUUUUACCCGGGAUGAUAAUGACAGUACCGGGAGAAUAAGCUCCGGCUAACUCCGUG
Molecule: ribosomal RNA, 433 nt
Filed under: uncultured bacterium
Lineage: Bacteria
Description: partial 16S ribosomal RNA
Rfam family: Bacterial small subunit ribosomal RNA
Source: RNAcentral